RNAcentral lists this unclassified non-coding RNA (226 nucleotides) under Hevea brasiliensis (rubber tree). Lineage: Eukaryota; Viridiplantae; Streptophyta; Magnoliopsida; Malpighiales; Euphorbiaceae. The record is from RNAcentral.
AUUAAUACUAAAAACAAUAUAAAAAUAUUAUCAAAAAAUUACAAAUAAAAAUAAAUUAAACAAAAAUUACCAUAACUAUAUUUUAACAAAAAUUACUAAAAAUUAAAUUACUAAUAAAAAUUAAAAUGGGAGAAUGAGUUAUGAAAAAAAAAGAUAAGAGGAAAAUGAAAUAAAAGAAAAUGAUAGAAAAUAAAAAAAAAGGAGAAAAAUGAGAGAAAAAAGAAAU